Molecule: long non-coding RNA, 765 nt
Organism: Pseudophryne corroboree (corroboree frog)
Lineage: Eukaryota; Metazoa; Chordata; Amphibia; Anura; Myobatrachidae
Exons: 4
Source: RefSeq, a predicted model, not a curated record
AUGAUGGAUGGUGAGCGUCUAGUUGCCUUGGUGACGUGACGCGCUCUGAUGAUGUCACAGGCCGGGGACUCUGGCGUGCGGCGGGUUGCCAGUGCGGACGUUUGGCGCCGGGACACAGGUAUUUCCUCAGAUGACUGCUACAAUGGUGAUGCUAAUGGAGGAACUCUCCUGGAGUCGAGCAAAAGAACUAUGCAUAGAUAUAACGGGAGAAGUCUAAAGGACGAAACGCGUUGGGCCUCUCCCCAGUGACCUCCUGCUAAACCAUUUGCAUCAGAGAUAAUUCAUCCUUCCAGACACCCAGCAUGCUGACUGAUCAGCCCCUCCGCUUCUUAUGCAGGCAUUAGCGGCGUUCCCUCCUGGGCAGUGUCAGGCAGUGUAAUCAGUGGUGUGUGGAGAAGAUGUGAAGGGUAUUAGCACAUCUCCACAAAUGUCCAUGUAUUUAUAGCACAAUCAUGCUGCAUUCUUACCGUGCAGCUGCAAAUUCCUCGUUGCGUCUGUAAACAAGCGUGGGCUGGAGGGUGAACAAUGCUUACAAUAAGUGAUUAUAAAUAUAUAAAAAACUGAGGCCAGACCAGCACUUUAAUCACUAUUACAAAGGGGCCAUUUAAAAAGGCAACAAAGAAUAUUGAACAAAAGUAAAGAUUUAAAAUGGUCCAUUUCCAAGACUAAAGCAUAGCAAUCUUACUUGUUAAUUACUAUGGCAAGUUACAGUGCUGGAUUUCUACUUAUUAUUCUUGCUGAACAUGAAUAAAGUGCUUAAAGCAG